This 678-nucleotide ribosomal RNA is filed under the name Achromobacter spanius. Its description in RNAcentral is "bacterial SSU rRNA". It matches the Rfam family "Bacterial small subunit ribosomal RNA", at positions 121 to 794 of the family's 1533-position model. The record is from RNAcentral. Lineage: Bacteria; Pseudomonadati; Pseudomonadota; Betaproteobacteria; Burkholderiales; Alcaligenaceae.
GUAACGUGCCUAGUAGCGGGGGAUAACUACGCGAAAGCGUAGCUAAUACCGCAUACGCCCUACGGGGGAAAGCAGGGGAUCGCAAGACCUUGCACUAUUAGAGCGGCCGAUAUCGGAUUAGCUAGUUGGUGGGGUAACGGCUCACCAAGGCGACGAUCCGUAUCUGGUUUGAGAGGACGACCAGCCACACUGGGACUGAGACACGGCCCAUACUCCUACGGGAGGCAGCAGUGGGGAAUUUUGGACAAUGGGGGAAACCCUGAUCCAGCCAUCCCGCGUGUGCGAUGAAGGCCUUCGGGUUGUAAAGCACUUUUGGCAGGAAAGAAACGUCAUGGGCUAAUACCCCGUGAAACUGACGGUACCUGCAGAAUAAGCACCGGCUAACUACGUGCCAGCAGCCGCGGUAAUACGUAGGGUGCAAGCGUUAAUCGGAAUUACUGGGCGUAAAGCGUGCGCAGGCGGUUCGGAAAGAAAGAUGUGAAAUCCCAGAGCUUAACUUUGGAACUGCAUUUUUAACUACCGAGCUAGAGUGUGUCAGAGGGAGGUGGAAUUCCGCGUGUAGCAGUGAAAUGCGUAGAUAUGCGGAGGAACACCGAUGGCGAAGGCAGCCUCCUGGGAUAACACUGACGCUCAUGCACGAAAGCGUGGGGAGCAAACAGGAUUAGAUACCCUGGUAGU